GCUCUAAGAAAAGAAAGUUUUGGGCCUAGAGUCAGGAAAAAGCCUUUUCAAGUCAAGCUGAGAACUUUAAGGUGGUCUUGGCUACCUCAUUUUAUGCAAAGUAGGCAGAAAAUUUAAAAGAAAAGAAACAUAUUUAAGUACAAUUAAGAAAAUUACAGUGUUUCAGUUAAAGCAGUUCAGUGCUUUUUAGAAAAGGAGCUGAAAUUAAAUAAGUUGAACUUCCUCUCUUUUUAGAAGAAUGGAUUUCUCGGAGUCUGAAAAAUUUAUGGUUCUUCUCUGGAAGAAUUUUAUUUUAAAGAGGCGGCGAUGUAUUGCUUUAGUUGUGGAAAUGGUCCUCACAUUUCUGUUUAGUGCUGCGCUUUUGGCAACACGCUCUGUUAUUACUAUAAAUAAGAACGGACCUUUCGAUUUUGCUGCUCAGCCUGUCGAUGAAGUGCCUUUCUACAUCACAGCUUCCUUAAUUUCUCCUUCUCCUUUGGAAUUGGCUUACGUGCCUUCCAGAAGUACUGUGGUUCAGGGUAUUAUUGAAAGAGUGAAAAUGGAUUUAAACCCUCAAAUGAAAGGUUAGAAAUUAACAUUUUCUGAAAAAACAUACAGAAUUACUAAAUCGAUUUAGUGAAGACAUACUUACAACCUUAUUAACUGGUUCUUAACCUCCCAAGUAAAACAUCGUUGGAAUCCUCAUACUAAGUAUAAAUAUUAUGGACUUUGUUAAACUUGAAAGUUAAAUUUAUAUAAAAUAUUUUGUUCAUAGAGCCCAGAACAAAUAGUAAUAUUUCAAAAUGAGAUGACCAAUUAUUAUUAUUAUUCUAAGUUGUUAUCCAGUUUUGUGAUACUGUUUUUUCUAUCUGGUUGUGCUUCUUGAACCUGGGUAAGUAUACCUCCAGGGGUGUGUGAUUUUGUGCCACAGGUCAGUGGUCAGUUAUUUAAAAUAAUGUUUUAUAUUAAAAUGUGGUGUGAGUAAUAUAGGAAGGCUUUAGAAAACACUUAAGCUAUGUAGAAUUAUUUUAAAAGCCCUCAGUCUCUCACUUACCUUCAUAUUCCCGGAUCAGUUUCUUACCUCUUUCUCUUAGAGGUAAAUACUGUGAGAAGUUUAGGUCGGCCGGGCCCAGUGGCUCACGCCUGUAAUCCCAGCAUUUUGGGAGGCUGAGGUGGGCAGAUCACCUGAGGUCAGGAGUUCAAGACCAGCCUGGCCAACAUGGCAAAACCCCAUCUCUACUAAAAAUAUAAGAAUUAGCCAGACAUGGUGGUAUGCACCUAUAGUCCCAGCUACUUGGGAGGCUGAGGCAUGCGAAUUGCUUGAACCCAGGAGGAGGAGGAGGUUGCAGUGAGGUGAAAUUGCACCACUGCACUCCAGCCUGGGUGACAGACCAAGACUCUGUCUCAAAAAAAAAAAAAAAAAAGUUUGUGGGCAUCUCCCUAGCACACCUCUCUCUACACAUGUGCGUGCAUGUGCACACACACACACACACACACACACACACACAGUCAGGCAACUUUUCCAUCUUUUUUUGUCUUUCAAGAGAUAUGAGAGUCCUUGAGAGUAGAUGCCAUCUCAAAGCAUUCUUUUUUGUUGUUUGCUUUUUUUUAUCAAAGCAUUCUUUAAAAUAAAGACUGAAACAGGAGAAUAUGAAGUUCCCAGUAAUUUUUAAAUUCUACAACAAAAAUAUCUCAACAAAUUUAAAGUCUAUUAUGGGUUACUCCAAUAGUCGCUUUGGGUUACUCAAAAUAUUUUCUGAUUUCCACUCUGAUGUCUUCUUUGAUGCAUGGAAUUUCAAAAUUUUUAGAAAUGUGUUGCUGAACUUCCAAACACUGGGGGCUUCUUAUCUUUCUGUUGUUGAUUUCUGUUUUAAUUUCCUUUCAUCAGAGAGUAUACUCAAUUCCAGUUCUUUGACAUUUUGAGAACUGUUUAUGACUAGUACAUGGUAUAUUUUGAUAAAUGUUUUCUGUGAAUUUGUAAAAACUAUGUGUGCUAUAGGUUUUGCUUCUGGUGUUCUAUAAAUGCCACCUGGGCAAAGUUGGCUAAGU
Molecule: long non-coding RNA, 2028 nt
Organism: Homo sapiens (human)
Lineage: Eukaryota; Metazoa; Chordata; Mammalia; Primates; Hominidae
Source: Ensembl